UAGGGAAUCUUCGGCAAUGGACGAAAGUCUGACCGAGCAACGCCGCGUGAGUGAAGAAGGUUUUCGGAUCGUAAAACUCUGUUGUUAGAGAAGAACAAGGACGUUAGUAACUGAACGUCCCCUGACGGUAUCUAACCAGAAAGCCACGGCUAACUACGUGCCAGCAGCCGCGGUAAUACGUAGGUGGCAAGCGUUGUCCGGAUUUAUUGGGCGUAAAGCGAGCGCAGGCGGUUUCUUAAGUCUGAUGUGAAAGCCCCCGGCUCAACCGGGGGGGGUCAAUGGAAACUUGGGGACUUGGGUGGAGAAGAGGGGAGUGGAAUUCCAUGGGUAGCGGGGAAAUGCGGAGAUAUGAGGGGGAACCACAGGGGCGGAGGCGGCCUUCUGGGAUGUAAACGACGGUGAGGGUUGGAAGGGGGGGGAGCAAACAGG
Molecule: ribosomal RNA, 429 nt
Filed under: Gemmatimonadota bacterium
Lineage: Bacteria; Pseudomonadati; Gemmatimonadota
Description: Gemmatimonadetes bacterium partial 16S ribosomal RNA
Rfam family: Bacterial small subunit ribosomal RNA
Source: RNAcentral